RNAcentral lists this ribosomal RNA (520 nucleotides) under uncultured Entrophospora. RNAcentral describes it as "SSU rRNA". It matches the Rfam family "Eukaryotic small subunit ribosomal RNA", at positions 569 to 1085 of the family's 1831-position model. The record is from RNAcentral. Lineage: Eukaryota; Fungi; Glomeromycota; Glomeromycetes; Entrophosporales; Entrophosporaceae.
AGCAGCCGCGGUAAUUCCAGCUCCAAUAGCGUAUAUUAAAGUUGUUGCAGUUAAAAAGCUCGUAGUUGAAUUUCGGGAUUGGCGCAUCGGUCGUGCCUUACGGGGUAUGAACUGGUGCAGUCAAUUUCUCACCUUCUGGAGAACCGCGAUGUCCUUAAUUGGGUGCCGCGGGGAACCAGGACCUUUACUUUGAAAAAAUUAGAGUGUUUAAAGCAGGCAUUUUUGCUUGAAUACAUUAGCAUGGAAUAAUAAAAUAGGACGGCAUGGUUCUAUUUUGUUGGUUUCUAGGACCACCGUAAUGAUUAAUAGGGAUAGUUGGGGGCAUUAGUAUUCAAUUGUCAGAGGUGAAAUUCUUGGAUUUAUUGAAGACUAACUACUGCGAAAGCAUUUGCCAAGGAUGUUUUCAUUAAUCAAGAACGAAAGUUAGGGGAUCGAAGACGAUCAGAUACCGUCGUAGUCUUAACCAUAAACUAUGCCGACUAGGAUCAGACGAUGUUAAUUUUUAUGUACUUCGUUUUGG